GGAGGAAUUAGUUCUACAAACUCAGCUGUCUUGUCUCCUGAAAGACAGUAAGUAGGCCUAAUUGUACCUGGGAGCUUUACAAAUCUGAGGAUAGAGUCAGCAACAACUAACACCUCAGAGUUUCUUUGUAAAUUGCCACCUCCGGCGGGUUGGGCCAGUCUAAUGAGCUGUGCAGGUGCGCUGACUGAUUGAUUUUCUGAGCUACAGCAGGUGUGGAGGAAAGCUCAGUAACAGGUGGUUGUGAUGAGGAAGACACUGGAGCUAGGAACAGGAACGUCCUCUACUGGAAGAGAUCUUCAAUGAGCCAAAGGCCCAGAGAAACCUUGCCUGCUGCGGAUGGAUCAGCUCAGAGCAAAGAUCCUGAAUGCUGCCCCAUCAAAGGUGCACCAUCACAUACACGGCGAUGGAGCAGAUGACAGCACUGAUCAGGAUGAGUGGCUGCGAUGCACACACAUAAACACACAACGUAAAUGCUCCCAAACGCAUGAAGGACAAGGAACACUGAUCUACACACUGUAUGAUGUCCGCUUCUGAAACAACGAUUUGACUGCGCUCAGCGGGUGUCAGGUUCUCUUGUCCUUCAAGCCGAUCAGGACCUGCUUUUGCCGCGCACGAAGACAGCCGAUGUCACUCGGUAGCCGGGCCAGAGUGGCAGCUCCUCUCCCCGGGCCCCUGACAGGCCUGCAGUGCCUCAUGAUGGAUGAGCACUGUCCAUUAGCUGGCUUCACCUCUGACCAGUGCCAGACUACAGCUGACGCCUGCUCUACUCCCCGCUCAGCUCGGCUCUGCACGCCCCUCUAACCCCUCACUCACCGAGAAGGCUGCUGGAAUUAAGCCAUCACAGCACCAAAGGGAAAACCAGUUGGUCAUGAGAAGGGGGGAGGGGGGGGGGGGGGAGAGUGGAAAAAUGAGGUGAAGUGGAGGAUUUCUUUUUCCCAACCUUUAUCUCAUCUCCAGUGCAGCAAUGACAUUGUCAAAAGAUGAGAGAGUGUUUCUUUGGCCUGUUCCACCUUGUGUCAUCACCAUUACACUAGCCUUCAACACUUACUUUGUUAAAGGAUCUAAUAAGGCUCUUGAAAGUUGAAUUCAUAAUACUUAAGAUGAGGAGUGAUGCCAACAAUUUACAUUUUGAUGUCAGGGGAGCUGGCAGGCAUGUGUGAUGAAUAUACUGUACCAUUUCAUUUACCAACGUAUGCCUACUUGAAAUGCCAAAAUUGUGCAUCUACUGAAACUCAAUGCUAAAUUUACCCCCCUUUCCUCUAUUGGGGAGGCGUUUAACCUCACAGUCUGGGAUUAGAUAGUCUUUUAUGGUGACUAAUGAUAUGUCUGAAAAAUUAAUAGUUUUUUUUUUGUUGCCAUAAAAUUGAAUAUUUGAAAAUAACGGAGUAGUAGAGUCAUAACCACCAAAGAAGUGAAAGAAAACUCGCUACAUUCUGGGGGUACUACCUUCUAAAGUUUUCAAAGGUCCAUCUUUCAACUCUGACUCACUUCACUUGCUCACCUCUUUCCGUCAUCCUGAAGUUUCUACCAGUGCAACAACAUGCAAUUAUUACCUGGUGGGCGCAGCAUCUCUAUGUACUUUGUGUGAAACUUCUCUCUUACUUUCUUUUUUUAAAAUUCCGACUAUGACUCGGUUACGGCAUCCAAACACAGGAAAUCGAAAUUAUAAAUAUAUGUUGCAAAAUGUAUGUAAGCGAUUUUGAAAAACACUCCAACACAGCGAGUGUAAAAAGUGUGUU
Long non-coding RNA from Sebastes umbrosus (honeycomb rockfish), 1739 nucleotides. RefSeq lists it as uncharacterized. NCBI's taxonomy places the organism in Eukaryota, Metazoa, Chordata, Actinopteri, Perciformes, Sebastidae. The transcript is spliced from 3 exons. The record is from RefSeq and is a predicted model, not a curated record.